This 354-nucleotide ribosomal RNA is filed under the name uncultured bacterium. RNAcentral describes it as "bacterial SSU rRNA". It matches the Rfam family "Bacterial small subunit ribosomal RNA", at positions 527 to 881 of the family's 1533-position model. The record is from RNAcentral.
GGAGGAUCCGAGCGUUAUCCGGAUUUAUUGGGUUUAAAGGGAGCGUAGGCGGAUUGUUAAGUCAGUUGUGAAAGUUUGCGGCUCAACCGUAAAAUUGCAGUUGAUACUGGCAGUCUUGAGUGCAGUAGAGGUGGGCGGAAUUCGUGGUGUAGCGGUGAAAUGCUUAGAUAUCACGAAGAACUCCGAUUGCGAAGGCAGCUCACUGGAGUGUAACUGACGCUGAUGCUCGAAAGUGUGGGUAUCAAACAGGAUUAGAUACCCUGGUAGUCCACGCCGUAAACGAUGAGCACUAGGUGUCGGGGCCGCAGGGCUUCGGUGCCGCAGUUAACGCAUUAAGUGCUCCGCCUGGGGAGU